This 570-nucleotide ribosomal RNA is filed under the name Echinometra sp. RCMBAR2359. RNAcentral describes it as "partial 16S ribosomal RNA". It matches the Rfam family "Bacterial large subunit ribosomal RNA", at positions 1816 to 2597 of the family's 2925-position model. The record is from RNAcentral. Lineage: Eukaryota; Metazoa; Echinodermata; Echinoidea; Camarodonta; Echinometridae.
CGCUCCCUGAACCUAAAAACAUAGGGAGUCCUGCCUGCCCAGUGACUAGAGGUUAAACGGCCGCGGUAUCUUGACCGUGCGAAGGUAGCAUAAUCAUUUGUCUCCUAAAUAGAGACUAGUAUGAAUGGCAAGACGGAGCCAAACUGUCUCUUUCCCGCAACUCUGAAUUUCACCUCCCCGUGAAGAGGCGAGGAUAAAAUCGCUAGACGAGAAGACCCUGUCGAGCUUAUAGCGAAGCUCAAACUCCUAGAAUGUCUUACUCUAUACUAAUUAAUAAAACUAUCUAGAGAUAAAAUCUCUAAGAGAUUUGAAGAGGCUUUGGUUGGGGCAACCACGGAGUAAAAAACCCUCCGAUAAUACAAAAACUAUACUAAGAACAACAAUUCUAAGAUCAGAAAUGAAAGUAUGAUCCACUAAGGUGAUCAAAGGAACAAGUUACCGCAGGGAUAACAGCGUUAUCUUUUCUGAGAGUUCACAUUGACGAAAAGGUUUGCGACCUCGAUGUUGGAUCGGGACAUCCUAAGGGUGCAGAAGCUUUUAAGGGUUGGUCUGUUCGACCAUUAAAGUCCU